Long non-coding RNA from Syngnathus typhle (broad-nosed pipefish), 1108 nucleotides. RefSeq lists it as uncharacterized. The transcript has 2 exons. Lineage: Eukaryota; Metazoa; Chordata; Actinopteri; Syngnathiformes; Syngnathidae. The record is from RefSeq and is a predicted model, not a curated record.
GUAUGUGAAGUUGAUGACAGCCAGAAAAAGAAACUUGAAAACGUGAAAAAAUAACUUUCUUUGUCAAAGGGAACAUUAUCAACAUUUUUUUCCAACAAUUCAAACAAUGCAUCACUGCACUGUGUAGAACACAGCAUGUGGGAAGAUCUUAGUAUUUACUGAUGCUGCUUUCACUCCACUUCCCAGGUCAUUAUAGAUCUCCCAGGCAUAUGCAGUCCUCCUGCAGUAUGCCACAUAAUGCCCGAGAGAAUCCUGGGUCAGUCCUGGUUCAAAGCCAAUGACUGCUCUCAAAGUAAAGGUCUUCUCUUUUAGCUCCAGACUGGAGGGAAAUUCAAGCAAGGCAACUUCCUUGCAACUGCUACCAAGAGUUUUGAAUGAAGACGGACACCGGGAAGGAUUUUUGGCGUUCAGUGAAUCAUUCAAUUUGUCAUUUAUUUAAUACUACUACUUUUAUUUUCUAGAGAUGUCAAAUCCUUACUCCAUGGAUUGUUAAUUACCAUUUUUUCCGUGUAUAGUGCGCAAAAUUUAACAAAUUUAUUGUCCUAAAAUCUGGGGUGCGUAUUAUACAUAGGUACAAAAAAAAAAAUGUUUAAUUUUUUUUUCUUUAAUUUUUUUUCAUUUUAUUUUUUUUAAAGAAAGUCAUGGUACAACAAAACCAACAACAGAACUGACCGACAAAGUCGUGGAACAAAAAGAUAGGGUGACAUUACCAAAGACAGGAACAGAAUGACAGUAACACAUGCAAUGAUCCAACGGUGAGCGAGGGGCAGACAGGACUUAAAUACAAAACACGUUACAUCGAUUGAGGUGACACAGGAAGAGAGGGGCGACGCGAACAGAAACUAUGGCAACCUAGACACAUAGCAAAACUGGGGACGAGACAUGACAAAUCUCCCCCGAAAUAAAACUCACCUUUCUUCUUGUUUGUUGUCAAUCGCGCAUCGCAUUCAGCCAUCCUGCCCAACACACUUAGUCAAAAAAAUCCAUAAUUGACGACACAUCGUUUGAUGCGAUGGUGCAAUCCUUGAUGGUGUGUUAUUGUCAAAUAUUGUUUGUUUUUAAUCUCCAUCGCGGACCGGACGUCAUACGGAGGCCGCCAUUACAGAUG